RNAcentral lists this ribosomal RNA (253 nucleotides) under uncultured bacterium. RNAcentral describes it as "partial 16S ribosomal RNA". It matches the Rfam family "Bacterial small subunit ribosomal RNA", at positions 524 to 776 of the family's 1533-position model. The record is from RNAcentral.
UACGUAGGGGGCGAGCGUUGUCCGGAAUUAUUGGGCGUAAAGAGCUCGUAGGCGGUUUGUCGCGUCUGCUGUGAAAACCCGAGGCUCAACCUCGGGCCUGCAGUGGGUACGGGCAGACUAGAGUGCGGUAGGGGAGAUUGGAAUUCCUGGUGUAGCGGUGGAAUGCGCAGAUAUCAGGAGGAACACCCGUGGCGAAGGCGGCUUCCUGGGCCGCCCCUGACGCUGAGGCGCGAAAGCGUGGGGAGCGAACGGG